RNAcentral lists this ribosomal RNA (794 nucleotides) under Escherichia coli. Its description in RNAcentral is "partial 23S ribosomal RNA". It matches the Rfam family "Bacterial large subunit ribosomal RNA", at positions 609 to 1402 of the family's 2925-position model. Lineage: Bacteria; Pseudomonadati; Pseudomonadota; Gammaproteobacteria; Enterobacterales; Enterobacteriaceae. The record is from RNAcentral.
UGUAUAAUGGGUCAGCGACUUAUAUUCUGUAGCAAGGUUAACCGAAUAGGGGAGCCGAAGGGAAACCGAGUCUUAACUGGGCGUUAAGUUGCAGGGUAUAGACCCGAAACCCGGUGAUCUAGCCAUGGGCAGGUUGAAGGUUGGGUAACACUAACUGGAGGACCGAACCGACUAAUGUUGAAAAAUUAGCGGAUGACUUGUGGCUGGGGGUGAAAGGCCAAUCAAACCGGGAGAUAGCUGGUUCUCCCCGAAAGCUAUUUAGGUAGCGCCUCGUGAAUUCAUCUCCGGGGGUAGAGCACUGUUUCGGCAAGGGGGUCAUCCCGACUUACCAACCCGAUGCAAACUGCGAAUACCGGAGAAUGUUAUCACGGGAGACACACGGCGGGUGCUAACGUCCGUCGUGAAGAGGGAAACAACCCAGACCGCCAGCUAAGGUCCCAAAGUCAUGGUUAAGUGGGAAACGAUGUGGGAAGGCCCAGACAGCCAGGAUGUUGGCUUAGAAGCAGCCAUCAUUUAAAGAAAGCGUAAUAGCUCACUGGUCGAGUCGGCCUGCGCGGAAGAUGUAACGGGGCUAAACCAUGCACCGAAGCUGCGGCAGCGACGCUUAUGCGUUGUUGGGUAGGGGAGCGUUCUGUAAGCCUGCGAAGGUGUGCUGUGAGGCAUGCUGGAGGUAUCAGAAGUGCGAAUGCUGACAUAAGUAACGAUAAAGCGGGUGAAAAGCCCGCUCGCCGGAAGACCAAGGGUUCCUGUCCAACGUUAAUCGGGGCAGGGUGAGUCGACCCCUAAGGCGAGGC